Molecule: long non-coding RNA, 590 nt
Filed under: Mytilus galloprovincialis (Mediterranean mussel)
Lineage: Eukaryota; Metazoa; Mollusca; Bivalvia; Mytilida; Mytilidae
Source: RNAcentral
UAACUUUAAUAAGGCCACACCAAUUUGAUUCCUUGUUCGAUGGACCCGCCCGCACCUAUUUUUUUCAAAACAGAUUUUUUUUAUUUUUUUUAUAUUCCCGCUUCCCGCAUCCGGAAAUGUAAUCAUGUCCAUUUCCCGCACAGUUUUUUUGUAAAUAUUAUAAAAAGAUAUCAACAUUUGUUUUUAAAUCACAGUCUAACCUGUAUAUAAUGAUUUUAAACAUAAAAGCACCCCUCCACACUUUGUAAAUAUCUGUGAGAAUAUUUGUUUCAGCAUGAAACCUAAUUAUCUAAAGCGGGAGUCCUCCGAUAUAAAUUUAUAUCAGCGGGAAUACCUGUAAAGAACAAAACAUUGGUUACUUUCGGUAUUGGGAUCGUUCGCCCUUAUAACAUGUUCGCCCUGGGUACGUUCGCCCUGAGUUCAUUCGCCCAGAGAGUCCGUUCGCCCUACUAAAAAAUAUUGAUAUUCAGGGCAUUGAAGUUGAAAAAACUUAUUCAGAUAUUUCUAUGGUAUAUAUUCUUGAAAUUUAUGGAAACGGGGAAAUAUUUAAAAGUUUAUGGCUUGUUUAGGAUCGUUAAUUGUUUAAUGAC